This 533-nucleotide ribosomal RNA is filed under the name uncultured bacterium. RNAcentral describes it as "partial 16S ribosomal RNA". It matches the Rfam family "Bacterial small subunit ribosomal RNA", at positions 35 to 539 of the family's 1533-position model. The record is from RNAcentral.
AGUGAACGCUGGCGGUAGGCCUAACACAUGCAAGUCGAACGGCAGCACAGUAAGAGCUUGCUCUUACGGGUGGCGAGUGGCGGACGGGUGAGGAAUACAUCGGAAUCUACUUUUUCGUGGGGGAUAACGUAGGGAAACUUACGCUAAUACCGCAUACGACCUACGGGUGAAAGCAGGGGAUCUUCGGACCUUGCGCGAUUGAAUGAGCCGAUGUCGGAUUAGCUAGUUGGCGGGGUAAAGGCCCACCAAGGCGACGAUCCGUAGCUGGUCUGAGAGGAUGAACAGACGCACGGGAGGUAGGGAACAGCACAGACUGGGAGGGGGAGCAGCAGUGAGUGAUAUGGGACAAUGGGAGCAGGCAUGAUGCAGCCAUAAGGCGUGUGUGGAGAAGGCCUUCGGUUUGUAAAGCACUUGUGGAGGGAAAUAAAAGCGGAGUGUUAAUACCCCGCUGUUCGGAGGGGACAAAAAGAAGAAGAAGCGGAUAACGUCGUGCCAGCAGCGGCGGUAAUGGAUCGAAAGAGCACACGUCGGAA